GACGAACGCUGGCGGCAUGCUUCACACAUGCAAGUCGAACGGAAAGGCCUGCUUUCCCUUGUGGAUUGCGGGUCCUCGAGUGGCCAACUGGUGAGUAACACUUAAGUGAUCUGCCCCCAACUUGGGUAUAAGCCUGGGGAACUGGGUCUAAUUCCCGAUAGCUCUGCAGGGUCGUUACUGAGGUGGACAACGCUUCUCUAGUGGAUGGGGUGGAGCUCGCGGCCUAUAAGCUUGUUGGUGGGGUAAUGGCCUAACCAGCCGGCGACGGGUAGCCGGCCUGAGAGGGUGGGCGGCCACAUGGGGACUGGGACACGGCCCAGGCGCGGACGGGAGGCAGCAGCGGGGAAUAUGGCACAGUGGGCGGAAGGCUGGUGCAGCGACGGCGCGUGGGGGAUGACGGCCUUGGGGUUGUAAACGCCUGUCGACCGCAAGGAAGCCACCUGGUUGGAGGGGUGGUUACGGUAGUGGUAGAAGAAGCGCCGGCUGGGUAGGUG
RNAcentral lists this ribosomal RNA (494 nucleotides) under uncultured bacterium. Its description in RNAcentral is "partial 16S ribosomal RNA". It matches the Rfam family "Bacterial small subunit ribosomal RNA", at positions 28 to 507 of the family's 1533-position model. The record is from RNAcentral.